This 156-nucleotide ribosomal RNA is filed under the name uncultured Actinomycetes bacterium. RNAcentral's name for it is "uncultured actinobacterium partial 16S ribosomal RNA". It matches the Rfam family "Bacterial small subunit ribosomal RNA", at positions 357 to 525 of the family's 1533-position model. Lineage: Bacteria; Bacillati; Actinomycetota; Actinomycetes. The record is from RNAcentral.
UGGGAAUUUGCGCAAUGGGCGAAAGCCUGACGCAGCAACGCCGCGUGCGGGAUGAAGGCCUUCGGGUUGUAAACCGCUUUCAGCAGGGAAGAAGCGAAAGUGACGGUACCUGCAGAAGAAGCACCGGCUAACUACGUGCCAGCAGCCGCGGUAAUA